GAUAAGUUCAUUUCUUAGUUUUUUUAUAAUGUUUAACUCUUCAUCUUAUUUAAAAAAUUUUAUGAUUAAUAUUUUUAUUAUUAUUAUAUGAUAAAACAUGAAUAGUACUUUACGUAUGACAAAAUUUUUUGAGUUUUUUAAUAAAAUUUUUAAAUAAGACGGAUGGUCAAACGCUAGAUACAAAAAAAUAAAGUUUUUUUUGGA
RNAcentral lists this microRNA precursor (204 nucleotides) under Oryza brachyantha (malo sina). Its description in RNAcentral is "MIR812 microRNA precursor family". It matches the Rfam family "MIR812 microRNA precursor family". Lineage: Eukaryota; Viridiplantae; Streptophyta; Magnoliopsida; Poales; Poaceae. The record is from Rfam by way of RNAcentral.